AGAGUUUGAUCCUGGCUCAGGAUGAACGCUGGCGGCGUGCCUAACACAUGCAAGUUGAGCGAUUUACUUCGGUAAAGAGCGGCGGACGGGUGAGUAACGCGUGGGUAACCUACCCUGUACACACGGAUAACAUACCGAAAGGUAUGCUAAUACGGGAUAAUAUAUUUGAGAGGCAUCUCUUGAAUAUCAAAGGUGAGCCAGUACAGGAUGGACCCGCGUCUGAUUAGCUAGUUGGUAAGGUAACGGCUUACCAAGGCGACGAUCAGUAGCCGACCUGAGAGGGUGAUCGGCCACAUUGGAACUGAGACACGGUCCAAACUCCUACGGGAGGCAGCAGUGGGGAAUAUUGCACAAUGGGCGAAAGCCUGAUGCAGCAACGCCGCGUGAGUGAUGAAGGCCUUCGGGUCGUAAAACUCUGUCCUCAAGGAAGAUAAUGACGGUACUUGAGGAGGAAGCCCCGGCUAACUACGUGCCAGCAGCCGCGGUAAUACGUAGGGGGCUAGCGUUAUCCGGAUUUACUGGGCGUAAAGGGUGCGUAGGCGGUCUUUCAAGUCAGGAGUGAAAGGCUACGGCUCAACCGUAGUAAGCUCUUGAAACUGGGAGACUUGAGUGCAGGAGAGGAGAGUGGAAUUCCUAGUGUAGCGGUGAAAUGCGUAGAUAUUAGGAGGAACACCAGUUGCGAAGGCGGCUCUCUGGACUGUAACUGACGCUGAGGCACGAAAGCGUGGGGAGCAAACAGGAUUAGAUACCCUGGUAGUCCACGCUGUAAACGAUGAGUACUAGGUGUCGGGGGUUACCCCCUUCGGUGCCGCAGCUAACGCAUUAAGUACU
This 831-nucleotide ribosomal RNA is filed under the name Clostridioides difficile. Its description in RNAcentral is "bacterial SSU rRNA". It matches the Rfam family "Bacterial small subunit ribosomal RNA", at positions 8 to 868 of the family's 1533-position model. The record is from RNAcentral. Lineage: Bacteria; Bacillati; Bacillota; Clostridia; Peptostreptococcales; Peptostreptococcaceae.